Lagopus leucura (white-tailed ptarmigan) is the source of this 1692-nucleotide long non-coding RNA. RefSeq lists it as uncharacterized. The transcript has 3 exons. Lineage: Eukaryota; Metazoa; Chordata; Aves; Galliformes; Phasianidae. The record is from RefSeq and is a predicted model, not a curated record.
CCGGCGGAGGCAGACGGAGCGAAGGGCAGCGGGAGCACUCCGCCGCCGCCUUGAGGGACCGCGCAGGGCCCGGCCGUUUCCCUGCUGGCGAAAGCCGAGACAAAAGGACUUUAAUUGCUUCAAGGCAGUUGGUGCUGAUUUUCUUAUCGGCUCUAGAGAAAAAAAAGCGUUGUCAAAAACGAUUAGGACUUAAGAUUUGGAGUCACUAUGGAAAUUGUCAAAAAUUCCCAUGAAGAAGCCUCAUAAAGAAGCAGAUCUCUCUUCAGGAUAUGUGACAUGGCUGUACAGUGCAAGAAGAGCAAUAAUCCUAAAGACACAGAAGGGAAAAAAAAAAGAUGUUCUUUACUCUGUGCGACGCAUACUUAAAUGCAGUCACUGAGAUACAACAGUCUCAUGUAAUGGAAAGAUACCAUAAUAUUCCUGACGAAGGAUGCUUCUCUGUUUUCUGCACCAAGUUUAAAAACAAUGAAAUGAAUAAAAUGAAUUAAUAUUUUGAAAUAUGAAAUUCAGAAAAUAAUGAGAAGUUGAGGAGACACUUCUUUUUGACUUCAGUAGGUCCUAUUAAACCUAUGUUUGCAGUUUUCCCAUCCAUUUUUUUUUAAUGUAAAAAUAUCAUCUAGCUGCAUGUCCUAAUUGAGAAUAAGUAAGUAUAAGGAGAAAGUUUAGCUUUGCUCUGAAGUGAUUAUACAAAUGCAUGUGAUCCUGUAGGUAUGGUGUUGAUUUUUUUUAUGUUGCCUCUAACAAGUUUAGAAGUCCCACCACCCAACAGUGCGUGAUCUGGCACAUACAUAUGAAAAAGAGACCUUUAUUCUGUGUACUUUCUCUGAUUAUUUGUAACCAAUUCUCUUUUUACUGAUGUUGCAAAUGCAUUAAGUCCUUAAAUGUUUACAAUGAGGUAUUUAGUUUAUCACAUCUUAUCUUCCAUUUAUACCAGUGAAACAGCUUUUUUUUAUUACCGUGACUGAAGGAAACUGCUGUCCUCAGCAUGAAAUACACCAGCACAGUGUGUAAGUUUUUAUUGUUCAACUUUCUAUAUGUGGAAAACAAAGAGUUCAGAAUUUUGCUGGCCAGCUGGGCUGGUUGUUCAAGAGGUGGAGAUUGUGUUACGUAAAUCUGAGUUACGGGUCAUCUCCUCUUUAAUGUCAUACAAUUAAUCAGUACAUUUUAUUCUGUGUUACUGGUAAUAUUAAACAGGAUGUGACCAAAACUAUCUCUUUUUACUAAACGUUGUUGGAGUUAAACUUGCUGCUAAUUCUUCAGCGGUGAUUGCAUGUGGAGACCCUUCUGUAGCCUAUUUCAGCUUAUAUGAUGUGUACCAUAUUGGUAGCUAAAAGAGGUUUUGUUGAGCCUUGAAGAAGUCUUGGCCAAGCUUAUAAUUAUAUCUCUCCAUUAUUAUCACUUUCCUAAUUCUUAGCUAAUCAUGUUUUAGUGUCAACAAUUCUAUUUGCCAAGCCUCCAUACGUAUAAUUAUCCAGGUCAUCUGAUUUGAUUUAUUGAGUUAGUUUUGAAACAUUCAUAUAUAAAACAUGGGCUUGUUUUCAAGGUUUAUUGAAAAUUUUUUAUCAAUAAGUAGGGAUUAGUAAUCUCUACUGAAAUUGUUACGGCAGAUGUGUGUAUUGCUAUGUGGAUUAUUUUUCUGUAAGGCUUUUUGUCUUUUCCUAAAAAGAAAAAAAUAAAACAUUUCUCACAGUA